AGGCCUGACUGUUAGAAAGAAAACUAACAAACAGAAAUAAUAUCAACAUCAACAAAAAGGACGUCCACACAAAAACCCAAUCUGAAGGUCACCAGCAUCAAAGAUUAAAGUGGAUAAAUCCAUGAAGAUGGGAAGAAACCAGUGCAAAAAGGAUG
Sapajus apella (tufted capuchin) is the source of this 155-nucleotide long non-coding RNA. RefSeq lists it as uncharacterized. The record is from RefSeq and is a predicted model, not a curated record. The transcript is spliced from 3 exons. Lineage: Eukaryota; Metazoa; Chordata; Mammalia; Primates; Cebidae.